AUAGCUGAUGGGAUACAGGUGCGGGUAAUCAGAACUCCCAACUGGCUACAUUGCCCGGCAACCAGACAGGGUGCGUUCCAGGACGCCGGAAAAAACACUCCAGGACAGAACACAGGCAAAAAACAGACUCAGGAAACGGGAUUCGUGACAGAUGUGGUUGUCCCACCUAGAUGAAUGCACUUACUAGUCAUUCAGGUGAGAAGUAAGGAGUAUGGACUUUACCGAGUCUCACAGCGACACCGUGUCCAGCCUUGCUGUUGCAGCGUGGCAGCACAUGAGAGGAAUGUCAGGCGUGUGCGCUUACUGAUCCGUAGAGGCUGCAGUGUGGACAGCAGUGUUGACAGCAGGGACAACCGUGCCUGGAACGUUCUCCAGGAGACUGUAUGUGUGCGCCAGCAACUUAAAAGGCUCUGCAUGGUCAAUCCAACAUCUGAAGUGGCCACACAGAAUUUACUGCGAUGCAGCCUCUGUACAUGUCAGGGGUUUCAUAAUUAUUGUGCUAGUGGAGCAGAGCAGAGCUAUUGUGAAGGUGAUAAAGGAAUGUAUAUGUUUAAAGUAAUGACUAAAGGAUUCCACCCUGAAAUCAUGUAAUUGUAUGGAAUGUGUUAGAGUAAUAAUUCCAUAAUGUGUGUGACUAGACCAUUGUGUUACUAUUUCGCAAUAUGAGCUGGGUAGAGUUGAGACAUUCAAGGCCAACUGAACUGUCAACUUGUGAUAACUCUGAAAACUGACAACAGGAUAGAGGGCCCGUCCAAAGCCCCUCUAAUCUAGGGAGGAGAGGAACGGCUAGAAACUGCCAGGCAGGUAGAAAAGUGAUAAACUGUGUGUGUGUGUGUGUGUGUGUGUGUGUGUGUGUGUGUGUGUGUGUGUGUGUGUGUGUGUGUGUGUGUGUGUGUGUGUGUGUGUGUGUGUGUGUGUGUGUGUGUGUGUGUGUGUGUAGGGGUGGGAGUUAUAAAAUGACUGUGUUUGCAUUUUUGACUUCAGAGUACUCUGAACAAAGAACUAACCUAUUGCAGACUGGGGGCUUUGUCUAAUUCUUCAUUAACCAGGGUAUUACAAACUUCUGGGAAUUGGUCAAAGCUAUAGUGAUAGUUGAGUUCAACCAUUGGGAUAAACAUUCUCAUGACAGAAGGAAGUUGUCAAGUAAGUGAGUUUGUGUUUAUUAAGGACGUACCACCCCCACCUAUCAUCAACCAAUCAUGUCAAAGCUAUAUGGAGCCCUCUGCAUCGUUACAAAAUUUGACAGGCGCACAGCGAUACGGUACGGAGCUUGAUCGAGCCUCUGCAUGCCUCCGGAAGCUCUGCAAUUGUGUCACAUGAAGCCUCCGACCACAUUUUUGGAUCAAGCAUAAAUUGGCAUUUAGGCUGUCGGUAAGGAUUGUGUAAGUGCACCAUCAUUCUCUUUCUAUGGCUCUUCCUCAAUUGUGAAAGCCAACCUAAUGAUGAGCUAAGUUGACGACUCACUAAAUUAUUCCGCUGCUUCGCUAUGUACUUUAAAGCACACGGGUAGGAUUGUCAAAUCGUUGCCUGCCGAUGGAAUUUUGCCUGCCGUUCCUAGGUGAGACAAAAAGCAGAACUACAAUAGUCCCAGUAUGUAAAAUUAUGUUGACAAGAUGUUCCAUCAGCAAGGGCAUUGAAGAUGAAACGUGGCUGGGUCUUUCAGCAUGACAAUGAUCCCAAACACACCGCCCAGGCAACGAAGGAGUGACUUCGUAAGAAGCAUUUCAAGGUCCUGGAGUGGCCUAGCCAGUCUCCAGAUCUCAACCCCAUAGAAAAUCUUUGGAGGGAGUUGAAAGUCCGUGUUGCCCAGCAACAGCCCCAAAACAUCACUGCUCUAGAGGAGAUCUGCAUGGAGUAAUGGGCCAAAAUACCAGCAACAGUGUGUGAAAACCUUGUGAAGACUUACAGAAAACGUUUGACCUCUGUCAUUGCCAACAAAGGGUAUAUAACAAAGUAUUGAGAUAAACUUUUGUUAUUGACCAAAUACUUAUGUUCCACCAUAAUGUGCAAAUAAAUCGUUUUAAAUAUACUGGUAAA
Molecule: long non-coding RNA, 2037 nt
Organism: Oncorhynchus mykiss (rainbow trout)
Lineage: Eukaryota; Metazoa; Chordata; Actinopteri; Salmoniformes; Salmonidae
Source: RefSeq, a predicted model, not a curated record